RNAcentral lists this ribosomal RNA (497 nucleotides) under uncultured bacterium. RNAcentral describes it as "partial 16S ribosomal RNA". It matches the Rfam family "Bacterial small subunit ribosomal RNA", at positions 28 to 507 of the family's 1533-position model. The record is from RNAcentral.
GAUGAACGCUGGCGGCGUGCCUAAUACAUGCAAGUCGAGCGAACAGAUGAGGAGCUUGCUCCUCUGACGUUAGCGGCGGACGGGUGAGUAACACGUGGAUAACCUACCUAUAAGACUGGGAUAACUUCGGGAAACCGGAGCUAAUACCGGAUAAUAUAUUGAACCGCAUGGUUCAAUAGUGAAAGACGGUUUUGCUGUCACUUAUAGAUGGAUCCGCGCCGCAUUAGCUAGUUGGUAAGGUAAGGGCUUACCAAGGCAACGAUGCGUAGCCGACCUGAGAGGGUGAUCGGACACACUGGAAAUGAGACACGGUCCAGAAUCCUAAGGGAGGCAGCAGUAGGGAAUCUUCCGCAAUGGGCGAAAGCCUGACGGAGCAACGCCGCGGGAGUGAUGAAGGGCUUCGGAUCGUAAAACUCUGUUAUUAGGGAAGAACAAAUGUGUAAGUAACUAUGCACGUCUUGACGGUACCUAAUCAGAAAGCCACGGCUAACUACGUG